RNAcentral lists this ribosomal RNA (253 nucleotides) under uncultured bacterium. RNAcentral's name for it is "partial 16S ribosomal RNA". It matches the Rfam family "Bacterial small subunit ribosomal RNA", at positions 524 to 776 of the family's 1533-position model. The record is from RNAcentral.
UACGGAGGGGGCCAGCGUUGUUCGGAAUUAUUGGGCGUAAAGGGCGCGUAGGCGGGAUGGCAAGUCGGUCGUGAAAUCCCUCGGCUCAACUGAGGAUCGUCGAUCGAUACUGCCGUUCUUGAGGAUUGCAGAGGAGACUGGAAUUCCCGGUGUAGCGGUGAAAUGUGUAGAGAUCGGGAGGAACACCGGUGGCGAAGGCGGGUCUCUGGGCAAUUCCUGACGCUGAGGCGCGAAAGCGUGGGGAGCAAACGGG